Molecule: ribosomal RNA, 908 nt
Filed under: Boeremia exigua var. exigua
Lineage: Eukaryota; Fungi; Ascomycota; Dothideomycetes; Pleosporales; Didymellaceae
Description: LSU rRNA
Rfam family: Eukaryotic large subunit ribosomal RNA
Source: RNAcentral
ACCCGCUGAACUUAAGCAUAUCAAUAAGCGGAGGAAAAGAAACCAACAGGGAUUGCCCUAGUAACGGCGAGUGAAGCGGCAACAGCUCAAAUUUGAAAUCUGGCGUCUUUGGCGUCCGAGUUGUAAUUUGCAGAGGGCGCUUUGGCAUUGGCAGCGGUCCAAGUUCCUUGGAACAGGACGUCACAGAGGGUGAGAAUCCCGUACGUGGUCGCUAGCCUUUACCGUGUAAAGCCCCUUCGACGAGUCGAGUUGUUUGGGAAUGCAGCUCUAAAUGGGAGGUAAAUUUCUUCUAAAGCUAAAUACUGGCCAGAGACCGAUAGCGCACAAGUAGAGUGAUCGAAAGAUGAAAAGUACUUUGGAAAGAGAGUUAAAAAGCACGUGAAAUUGUUGAAAGGGAAGCGCUUGCAGCCAGACUUGCCUGUAGUUGCUCAUCCGGGUUUUUACCCGGUGCACUCUUCUAUAGGCAGGCCAGCAUCAGUUUGGGCGGUUGGAUAAAGGUCUCUGUCACGUACCUCCUCUCGGGGAGAACUUAUAGGGGAGACGUAAUGCAACCAGCCUGGACUGAGGUCCGCGCAUCUGCUAGGAUGCUGGCGUAAUGGCUGUAAGCGGCCCGUCUUGAAACACGGACCAAGGAGUCUAACAUCUAUGCGAGUGUUUGGGUGUCAAGCCCGAGCGCGUAAUGAAAGUGAACGGAGGUGGGAACCUUUCGGGGUGCACCAUCGACCGAUCCUGAUGUCUUCGGAUGGAUUUGAGUAAGAGCAUAGCUGUUGGGACCCGAAAGAUGGUGAACUAUGCUUGAAUAGGGUGAAGCCAGAGGAAACUCUGGUGGAGGCUCGCAGCGGUUCUGACGUGCAAAUCGAUCGUCAAAUUUGGGCAUAGGGGCGAAAGACUAAUCGAACUAUCGAGUA